Molecule: ribosomal RNA, 433 nt
Filed under: uncultured bacterium
Lineage: Bacteria
Description: partial 16S ribosomal RNA
Rfam family: Bacterial small subunit ribosomal RNA
Source: RNAcentral
AACGAACGCUGGCGGCAUGCCUAACACAUGCAAGUCGAACGAGACCUUCGGGUCUAGUGGCGCCCGGGUGCGUAACCCGUGGGAACCUGCCCUUAGGUUCGGCCUAACUCCCCGACAGGGGUGCUAAUACCGGAUAAUGUCUUCGGCCCAAAGAUUUAUCGCCUUUGGAUGGGCCCGCGUUGGAUUAGCUCGUUGGUAGGGUAAUAGCCUACCAAGGCGACGAUCCAUAGCUGGUCAGAGAGGAUGAUCAGCCACACUGGGACUGGGACACGGCCCAGACUCCUACGGGAGGCAGCAGUGGGGAAUAUUGGACAAUGGGCGAAAGCCUGAUCCAGCAAUGCCGCGUGAGUGAUGAAGGCCUUAGGGUUGUAAAGCUCUUUUACCCGGGAUGAUAAUGACAGUACCGGGAGAAUAAGCGCCGGCUAACUCCGUG